CCUACGGGAGGCUGCAGUGAGGAAUAUUGGUCAAUGGGCGCGAGCCUGAACCAGCCAAGUAGCGUGAAGGAUGACUGCCCUACGGGUUGUAAACUUCUUUUAUAAAGGAAUAAAGUGAGGCACGUGUGCCUUUUUGUAUGUACUUUAUGAAUAAGGAUCGGCUAACGCCGUGCCAGCAGCCGCGGUAAUACGGAGGAUCCGAGCGUUAUCCGGAUUUAUUGGGUGUAAAGGGAGCGUAGAUGGGUUGUUAAGUCAGUUGUGAAAGUUUGCGGCUCAACCGUAAAAUUGCAAUGGAUACUGGCAGCCUAGAGUACAGUAGAGGUAGGCGGAAUUCGUGGUGUAGCGGUGAAAUGCUUAGAUAUCACGAAGAACUCCGAUUGCGAAGGCGGCCUACUAAGCUGCCACUGACAUUGAGGCUCGAAAGUGUGGGUAUCAAACGGGAUUAGAUACCCGUGUAGUC
Molecule: ribosomal RNA, 460 nt
Filed under: uncultured bacterium
Lineage: Bacteria
Description: partial 16S ribosomal RNA
Rfam family: Bacterial small subunit ribosomal RNA
Source: RNAcentral